AACGCACGAGACCUGCGGACCUGCGGAGGGAUCAUCAUUGAAAUCCAUAUUUGGAACACCCUGUGAACUGUGUAAGUAGGGGCAGUAGUGGGGAAGGGGUAGUGACAGUGUGUGGGAGUAGUGCGCAUGUAUUGUUGUACGUGCCACUAUGUCCGCUGCUGCACUUACUACUACUUGCUGCUGCUGCUGCUUACGUAUUGUGCGUUACGCUGCGCUGCUGGAGCAUAUAUAUGUGGCGGG
Molecule: unclassified non-coding RNA, 240 nt
Filed under: soil metagenome
Description: partial contains 5.8S ribosomal RNA, internal transcribed spacer 2, and large subunit ribosomal RNA
Source: RNAcentral